Molecule: long non-coding RNA, 470 nt
Filed under: Bos taurus (domestic cattle)
Lineage: Eukaryota; Metazoa; Chordata; Mammalia; Artiodactyla; Bovidae
Description: long non-coding RNA NONBTAT025991
Source: RNAcentral
UCCUUAUUUGCUUAACAAAUAUUUAUUGAGGCGCAAGUAGACACCACGGCUAACUACAGCCGGGGCAAAGCGUAAGGAGAGAUUAGCUGGGCGAUCUCAUUAACCCCAGGAGCUAAAUUGAGGAUGCGGGUCUCCAGGUAGUGUAGCAGUUUUGUGUUGCAGGCUCUCAACAUUAUUAAUAUCCUCAGAAUGCAGGCAGGUCAGGCCACAGUUAGCAAGCUCCAGCUCCCUGAGACCAGUGUUACAGAGUGUAUUCAUUUUCUUUUGCCAACCACUCACCUCUCUCUCUUGCUGACUCUGAAUCAGUGGGGAAAAAGAGAAAAAUUGCCUGGCUCAGUGAUGUUGGAGGGAGGUUUGAUCAAGGUGUUUAAUAGCUAGGGUUGGAAUUUAAUUUUGAAUUUUCCUGCUGUGGCUGUUAACCAUGAGGGUUUAUAUUACCAUUUCUCUCGUAUUCUUUUCAGCUAUAUUUU